RNAcentral lists this unclassified non-coding RNA (209 nucleotides) under soil metagenome. RNAcentral describes it as "partial internal transcribed spacer 1". The record is from RNAcentral.
AUAAUGGAAAAGUUGCUGUGUGCCUCCCAUUUUCCUUUUUUUUGGAGAUGGGGUUGGGGCUCAGUGAUUCUUUCUUGUGAACUGUGGAGGCUUGAUGCCCCUUUCUUCUUUGAAGAAGGGGUGUUGGGCUUUGCCUUUUGUUUUUUGACAUUUGUAUUUUUAUUUUUUGAUUUUGAGAUUGAAAUAUUAUCUCAAAAAAAAAACCAAGA